GAAAUUGUCGAAGGAAGAUGUACGAGAAUUAAUUUACCGAGAGAUAUUGGAGUAUCAUCCCCAAAUGCUUCAGGAAUACCUGAAUGGUGCAGAUCAAACUAGCUUCCUGUACCCAAGUGGAGUUGAUCGUUUCAAACGACAGUUUGCUCAUUUGGAGGAGCAUUAUGGUAAAAGCGGUGAGAGAAGCACUCCUCCACUUCAGAGACAACAUGCGUCUUUA
Papaver somniferum (opium poppy) is the source of this 220-nucleotide long non-coding RNA. RefSeq lists it as uncharacterized. Lineage: Eukaryota; Viridiplantae; Streptophyta; Magnoliopsida; Ranunculales; Papaveraceae. The record is from RefSeq and is a predicted model, not a curated record. The transcript has 3 exons.